This is a long non-coding RNA of Caretta caretta (loggerhead turtle), 942 nucleotides long. RefSeq lists it as uncharacterized. The record is from RefSeq and is a predicted model, not a curated record. NCBI's taxonomy places the organism in Eukaryota, Metazoa, Chordata, Testudines, Cheloniidae.
AUGGGGGGGCUGAGUCAGGCAUGAGGGGCACAGAGCUGGUGGGUAGAACUGGUAUAGGAGGGGACUAUGGGUCAGGAGUGAGGGGCACAGAGCUUGUGAGGGGCAGGACUGGGAUAGCAGGGGACCGUGCACUAAGCAUGAAGGGCACAGAGCUGGUGGGUGGCUGGGGGUCAGGCACGAGGGGCACAGAGCUGGUGGGGGGAAGAACUGGUAUAGUGGGGGGCUGUGGGUCAGCGUUAAGGGGCACUGUCACAUGGGCCACAGUGUGCCAGAUCCUGCCAGUUCUGCCAGCUAGUAGGAGCAGCAAGUGUUCUCCUCUCCUGAGUGAGGCCUCCAGCCAGUCCCUCGCCCUGGAGGAUUUCAGGGGUCCGGCCCCCCUGCGGGCAGGGCUGCUGCCACCCAGCGUAAAAUGCGCGUGCAGAUCCAGCCAUCGCCAGGGAGCGGCUGGCGAAGACGCUUGGGGUGUAUCCUGCAGAGAGCAGCCGCGAAGGCCCUCGGUAGCUCCCGUACUGACCCUCUUUGCAGGGCCUUGCUGUGAUCCUGUCUCUAUGGCAGAGCCAGGAAUAGCCCUCGGAAGGACACCCAGCCUGAGCUUCUUUGUGUCACCAGAGUGGGAGGAAGUGCUCUUUCCAGGGAGGAUCUUGCUGCAGUGGUGGUCAGAGAGUUGGACCGCCCCUCAUUAGAAAGACUCUCUUGGAGCCUGGAACUUGCUCCCCCCCACACUCCAAAAUAGCUCGAAUUUGGCAACUUUCACUCCAAAAGAUGCCUGCUGGCAAGGGUCUUUCGGGAGGGCGGGGGCACACUGCUGAGGUGGUGAAGGGGGUCAGGGUCCUGUGACAUCGAUGAUUUGAAAUCUGCUGAGAUCGGAGUUAGUUGAACUGUACUGAUUGUAUAACUACGUUUGUAGCUCACGAAAGCUUAUGCUCAAAUAAAUUGGUUAGU